Molecule: long non-coding RNA, 308 nt
Filed under: Brassica napus (rape)
Lineage: Eukaryota; Viridiplantae; Streptophyta; Magnoliopsida; Brassicales; Brassicaceae
Description: long non-coding RNA (BNAP_LNC000445)
Source: RNAcentral
AAGAGGACGAAACUCUCGAUAAACUAAAAUUUGGUAGCUAAAGACUACAAACAAGAAAAGGAAUAUACUACCAGGAGAGAAAAGGUAAAUUGAUCUGAGAAAUGUUGUUCUCCAUGAAGACAACAAAAUCUGUACAUAAAACAACAUUCAUACUUUUUAGACAGCUCAAGACCAAAUCAUGUAUGUCAUUUAUACAAGUCACUCUAUGUUUACAACAAUCUUCUCAGGCAUAAUUUAACAAGUCCAACAAUUUUAUGCCGAAGUUUGGAGUUUUUUGCAAUAUAAAAGAUCCUUCACUGAUUAGCUAC